Molecule: non-coding RNA, 157 nt
Filed under: Bartonella sp. HY328
Lineage: Bacteria; Pseudomonadati; Pseudomonadota; Alphaproteobacteria; Hyphomicrobiales; Bartonellaceae
Also listed under: 3 other names
Description: 6S RNA
Rfam family: 6S / SsrS RNA
About the family: E. coli 6S RNA was the first non coding RNA to be sequenced, but its function was unknown until recently. It consists of 184 nucleotides that fold into an extended hairpin structure with a large single-stranded internal bulge. The 6S RNA specifically associates with RNA polymerase holoenzyme containing the sigma70 specificity factor.
Source: RNAcentral
GGCGUUCUGCGCUUCGCGACAGGAUAACAGCAUCCCUAGGGCCUUAAUGAUCUUAAAGGGAGCCGUCCCUGAUGAGGCCCGUGGGCUUCGUCAUAUGGCGCCCACCUACUAUGUAGGUUCCUAGGAUCAAAAAUUCCAUCGGUUGUCGUGGACGCCA